UGGCUGCCACCUCUGCAGCUGCCCUUUGGAGUAUUUCUCCAGAGUGCUGACUGUCAUUAGCAGUGCUGUGGCUUGGCUGUUCUCUGUGCCAACUGUGUUUGUGUCUGCCCUCCCUUUCCAUAGGAUGUCCUGGUGUGCUUGGUGCUUCACAGUGGCCUUUGGAGUGGAGCUUCCUGUUAACUGGCUACCACCUGCUGGACAUGGGCCAGGCUCAAAGUUGAAGGCAACCCUGUGUGGGCUGGCUAUAAGGGAAACAGUCACCCUUGGGAGGUAAUACUGACUCCAAUCCAGAAGACAGUCAUCAGUUAAGUAAAUAAAACAGGAACAGAACAUUGGUGCUUACAGUAGAUGGCUCUGAGGUCCAAGUGAAAGACAAUAUUUGCAAGCAAUUCAUUAGAUUUGACCAUCAAAACUCUGUUCCAGGCACACUCAGGCAUCAUGGAAAAUGAUACCUAUUGUGGAAUCCCUCACUUGCCGAUGAAUAAUCUAGACGAUCAGAAAUGUGGCACUAUUGUGGCUUUCAGGUAGAAAAACACCCUGAAUCCAGCUUCCUGCUGCAAAUGAGUACUGAGCUUGGGAUGGUGAAAACUGAUUUUCAAGAUAGUAACUAUGGCCAUAUUAUGAAUCAACUGUGUUCUGUUUAGGUGGUGGAAGCAAAGCUUACUUCUGAAAAUAACCUACAAAUAUAAUAUGUAAACAUAUGGAGCUUCAAGAUAGACUAAAACAUGCUACUAUGUUCUAUGGAUCAAAAUGCAAAGGUAUCUGUACAUAUAUUAAUUUUCAUUUUCAUUAAUUUGGGAUAUAUUGAUAGUACAUAACUAUGUGCUUACCUAUAUAGACCGUAAAACAAAUUUUGACAAUGUUUCUAAUGACAACAUACUUUCUAGCCCCAACUGCUAGGAAAAAAUAUGAAAAUGACUGCCUCUGUUUUUAUUUAUUUAUUUAUUUAACUUUAGGUGCAUACUAUAUCUGGCAUUUCUACCCAUGUUAUCCCCAUUGACUGUCUCUGUUUUUAAAUGGAAAAGUAAAACCAGCACUCCUCAUUGCAACAUGGACUGGCCUCUAAAAGGUUCAGAGUCAAAAACCUCUGAUUAUUCCCCAAUGUAAUAAAACACAUAAGCUUUCUCUCAGUGGUCAGGAAGUCUGAUCCUCUCUAGUGUUUUGUCUUUAAAAUUGCUUUCCAGGAUAGGGCUUCAGUAGUGGCUUAUGCCUGUAAUCCAGCACUUUGGGAGG
Molecule: long non-coding RNA, 1233 nt
Organism: Cebus imitator (Panamanian white-faced capuchin)
Lineage: Eukaryota; Metazoa; Chordata; Mammalia; Primates; Cebidae
Exons: 5
Source: RefSeq, a predicted model, not a curated record